This 371-nucleotide RNase P RNA is filed under the name Arenicellales bacterium. Its description in RNAcentral is "RNase P RNA component class A". It matches the Rfam family "Bacterial RNase P class A". From Rfam's summary of the family: Ribonuclease P (RNase P) is a ubiquitous endoribonuclease, found in archaea, bacteria and eukarya as well as chloroplasts and mitochondria. The record is from RNAcentral. Lineage: Bacteria; Pseudomonadati; Pseudomonadota; Gammaproteobacteria; Arenicellales.
GGAGUCGGCCGGGCGAUCGCGGCUUCGUUCCUGCAGUCACCGGAAUACGGUGUUUAGCGGUGCGUAGCGGNNNNNNNNNNGCCAGAUAACGUCUGGACGGCGCGAGUCGAUGGACAGUGCCACAGAAAAUAUACCGCCUGCUCGGCAGGUGAACACUUGUUGAGCGGUAAGGGUGAAAUGGUGCGGUAAGAGCGCACCGCGUUCGUGGUAACACGAACGGCAGGGUAAACCCCACCUGGAGCAAGACCAAAUAGGAAUCCAAUGGUGCGGCCCGCAUCGGAUUCGGGUAGGUCGCGAGAGUCACGCGGUGACGUGUGAUCGAGAUGAAUGGUCGCCUUCGACAGAACCCGGCUUACAGGCCGACUCCCCAC